This 464-nucleotide ribosomal RNA is filed under the name uncultured Methanomicrobiales archaeon. RNAcentral's name for it is "bacterial SSU rRNA". It matches the Rfam family "Archaeal small subunit ribosomal RNA", at positions 875 to 1338 of the family's 1478-position model. The record is from RNAcentral. Lineage: Archaea; Methanobacteriati; Methanobacteriota; Methanomicrobia; Methanomicrobiales.
AGCACCACAACAGGUGGAGCCUGCGGUUUAAUCGGACUCAACGCCGGGAAGCUCACCGGAUAAGACAGCGGAAUGAUAGUCGGGCUGAAGACUCUACUUGACUAGCUGAGAGGAGGUGCAUGGCCGUCGUCAGUUCGUACUGUGAAGCAUCCUGUUAAGUCAGGCAACGAGCGAGACCCACGCCAACAGUUGCCAGCUCGUCCUCCGGGAUGGUGGGGACACUGUUGGGACCGCCUCUGCUAAAGAGGAGGAAGGAAUGGGCAACGGUAGGUCAGCAUGCCCCGAAUUAUCUGGGCUACACGCGGGCUACAAUGGGUGGGACAAUGGGUAUCGACACCGAAAGGUGAAGGCAAUCUCCUAAACCCAUCCGUAGUUCGGAUUGUGGGCCGCAACUCGCCCACAUGAAGCUGGAAUCUGUAGUAAUCGUGUCUCAAAAUGGCACGGUGAAUAUGUCCCUGCUCCUU